This 253-nucleotide ribosomal RNA is filed under the name uncultured bacterium. Its description in RNAcentral is "partial 16S ribosomal RNA". It matches the Rfam family "Bacterial small subunit ribosomal RNA", at positions 524 to 776 of the family's 1533-position model. The record is from RNAcentral.
UACGGGGGGGGUAAGCGUUGUUCGGAAUUACUGGGCGUAAAGGGCUCGUAGGCGGCCAACUAAGUCAUACGUGAAAUCCCUCAGCUUAACUGGGGAACUGCGUGUGAUACUGGAUGGCUUGGAUUUGGGAGAGGGAUGCGGAAUUCCAGGUGUAGCGGUGAAAUGCGUAGAUAUUCGGAAGAACACCAGUGGCGAAGGCGGCUCACUGGCCCGGUACUGACGCUGAGGUGCGAAAGCGUGGGGAGCAAACAGG